This is a long non-coding RNA of Dicentrarchus labrax (European seabass), 3113 nucleotides long. Lineage: Eukaryota; Metazoa; Chordata; Actinopteri; Moronidae. The record is from Ensembl.
AGAAUAUCCAAAUGCAUUAGGACAAUGGAAAGGAAGAGACAAUGGCGACAGUGAAAUUUUAAUUAAAGCUUUAAUGCUUUAAUUAAUAAAAUCAUAAUAAAUUAAAUGAAUGGUGGUCUGAUCCCUGCUUCACCCCAACUCAACAAUCCUCUUUUUUUUUUAAUGAGUACCAACUUAAACUGAUGGAAUCAACUCUUUAUCUAUCUGUACUUAGUAACUUAGUAAUGAGUAAAUGCCUCAUUUCUACUUUAUCCACUUUAUGUCCACAGAGGAGUCAGUUUUUUUCAGCACCACCCGCACCACCUGCGUCCUCACUGCCUAAUCUGUUUUAUUCAAGGGAAUAGAAAUAUGUUCAUGUUCAGAUGUAAGAUUAAACUGUAAAAAAAUAAGAUAAUAAUCAUAAACUGUCUGUGAAUAUUGAAUUGUUAGAAUUUGGGAACAACAAUAUGCAAAUCAAAACUCACCAACGUAACAAAGUUCAGCCGCAGUCAGUUGCAGUCAUGGUUAUACCAUUUGCCCAAGUUUGAAAUGGCACAAAUAUUUUCGAGUCUGCUGGAUGGUGAACUGGGAGCCCAAUUACUGAAUGAAUGUGCAGUCCCAUCUGACCACUUCCAUGAGUCUCUGUAGAGGCCGAUCCACCCAUGUCCAUUCAUCACUAACCAGUCAUGCUCAGCUUGGUUCCUCACACUGGCCAGGUCAGUGUAGUGCUCCCUGCAGUAACUCUGAGCAUCAUCCCAGUUCUUGCCUUCUUCUACACGUAUUAAGAUCGAUUACAUAUUCUGUGUUUCUCCUGCACCUGAAAUAUUGAUUAAAAGUUUCAUAGUGUUGAACUUAUCAUCCUGGAUGAAUAUGAAUAUCUGAACAUGCUAUUUUUUACUGUAUUCCUCCAUGUUGGUUCAAACUUGCAUUCAUUAUUUUCUUUGGGCACUUGGGGGCAGCACAACCAGCUAUGAUCAAAACACUGACAUGUUAUCGAGUUAAAGUGGAGGAGGCAACUAAACUAAAACUAAAAGUCCCACAGAAAAAGUUAUGUGACUCACAGUUGGAGCACCUGUACAGCUCGAAUCUACAUGCAACUCUUCAGAACUGGAGGAAGGAGAUCGGAGUCAGCUCAGAGUUCAAACAAGGUUUUAAUCUUGUACAAGAGGAACAUUCACAGAGCAACACGCAGGUCUGUUACAAAGUGAAGACUCAAUAUCUUAAGAGAAAAGCUUGGUAUUUAUCUGUAUCUGUGGGUGUGGCCUCACUCAGAUAGUUACUAAUUAAUGCCCUCCUGAACCCAAAGGAAUCAAUCACAGAGAAGGAAGUGAUAACCAUGAGUGGCUAUUCAAUACCUUGACUGAUUAUUCAAUACCUUACAUGUGUCACAAAAACAACACAAAGGGUCACAGGUCACAUUUAAACGGUUACAUUGAACAUUCCUGUGUAAGACUUCAGUUCUCUUCAUUAAGUACACAAUUUCCAUCACAUUGAUAGGUUGAUGUCAUGAUAUUAUAGGUUGAAAUAGGUUAGUUCAAACUUAUGUAUAUGCACGUCACGUUUUUUGCCAUACAUUGAUAAACUGGAUGUGAUCUAAAACGGGUAAAACAGAAUUGGAAAUGUUGCAGCUCAUUCACAGGUGGAAGCAUGAGCUCGCCCUUCAAGUACUAACCACAUAAUUGUUUCAUUCAUCACCUCAGUUUAACAUGAUAUAUUUACUUUUGUUGUAGCAGUAGAAGUAGUUUCCCUGAUUAUACCCGUUAUCUGUCCAUUCCUCUGAAGCCCACAUAAACGCACAAACUUUGUGGUAAUUGUCAUUAUCAGGUUCCAUCGGAGACCACUUCCUGAAGUCAGCCUCUCCUUUACCAUAGUAAGUCGGGUCUUCCAGAGACCACCUCCAUGCCGCACUGUCAGAUUGCAGUCCGAUCCAGACGUUGGGAAUAUUAUCUAAAAGUGUAUUGAGCUGAGCCAAGUGUCGCUCAUUGUGCACAGAGGCCAGGUCGGUGGCUGUUCAACAAAGAUGUAGAGACGAGGAAAACAGGAAGGUAGAAAACACAGUCCUGUGGAAAAGAUAUAGAUAAUUAUUGUGAUGCGUUCAUUGAUAAACUCAUGUUACAAUUUGAGUUUUGAGACAUUUGAACUUCAGAGAUUUGUGGAAAAAAAUGGCUCACAUUGACCUGAUAAGACCAUCAUUAUAACUGCAGUCCUUUUCAUGAUGGACCAAUGGACAGCUUGCUUGCACCUUGAAGUAAUCUGUUUUAGUAAUUAGUUUCAUGUUAUUUACUUUUUUUUUACAGCCAACAACAGAGCUUGGUUUGAAAUUGACAACGAUAACAAAAAGUGCUUCCUGAGGAAAAGAAUAACAAAAUUCUUUAAACGAAUCAUUCGUGCUAGAGGUUCAAGGUAGAGAGCAAAAAGCACUGGACUCAGUGGGCAUCCCUGGCACGAAGAUCUAGUAACAGGGAAUAAUGCAGACAACAAUUGCCCAGGUUUAUGUUAUUUUCUGUGGUUGGGGAAACAUUAAAAUCUUUUUAGUUAAGAUAUGCAAUACCACACUGUAAAAUGUCCACUGAAAAAAAGACAAUGAAAUAUUAUUAGCUUAUUAGCUGUUAGAGUUUUACAUUAUUUUAUAUUUUAGUGUUAGAUGCUCUGUGUUUGAGGUGGAUCCAACUUGUACAAUUUUCUAUCCUGUGGUGUAGUUUCAGUUAUAAGAAUGCAUACUAUUGUAAAAGCUUGUUUUGUAUGUUAAAUCCUGCAUUAGGGACAGAGCCAGCAACCGCUGGAGUUCCCUAUUGUAUUUGCUAGAAUUCUUCUUACCUAUUAUUAUUAUUAUCUUUAGCCCCCUUCGACUGCAUUUUUGCCCCCCUGAACAUAUACGAAAACUCAAUUUAUUUGGCAAAGUUGUCAGGCCUGGUGAAAAUAGGAUAUUCUAUUAAUUGUUUUCGGGUUGGCCACUAGGUGGUGCUACUUCUGCAUAGUUUGUCGCACAUUCAAAAACCUUAUAUCCACGCGUUCGGUGAAUGGAGCUGAAUCUCCUCAUAUAGGCCAAGCCCACUCCCGCCUAUAAUUUUCGCCUACUUUUUCGUGUUCUUCCUACACGCUUUGUUCGAUUCGCACAAAUUUUUUCACAUAGC